GAUGAACGCUAGCUACAGGCUUAACACAUGCAAGUCGAGGGGCAGCAUGAACUUAGCUUGCUAAGUUUGAUGGCGACCGGCGCACGGGUGAGUAACACGUAUCCAACCUGCCGAUGACUCGGGGAUAGCCUUUCGAAAGAAAGAUUAAUACCCGAUGGCAUAGUUCUUCCGCAUGGUGGAACUAUUAAAGAAUUUCGGUCAUCGAUGGGGAUGCGUUCCAUUAGGUUGUUGGCGGGGUAACGGCCCACCAAGCCUUCGAUGGAUAGGGGUUCUGAGAGGAAGGUCCCCCACAUUGGAACUGAGACACGGUCCAAACUCUUACGGGAGGCAGCAGUGAGGAAUAUUGGUCAAUGGACGAGAGUCUGAACCAGCCAAGUAGCGUGAAGGAUGACUGCCCUAUGGGUUGUAAACUUCUUUUAUAAGGGAAUAAAGUGGAGUCGUGACUCUUUUU
RNAcentral lists this ribosomal RNA (451 nucleotides) under uncultured bacterium. RNAcentral's name for it is "bacterial SSU rRNA". It matches the Rfam family "Bacterial small subunit ribosomal RNA", at positions 28 to 470 of the family's 1533-position model. The record is from RNAcentral.